This 166-nucleotide ribosomal RNA is filed under the name Limosilactobacillus fermentum. RNAcentral's name for it is "Lactobacillus fermentum partial 16S ribosomal RNA". Lineage: Bacteria; Bacillati; Bacillota; Bacilli; Lactobacillales; Lactobacillaceae. The record is from RNAcentral.
GCCCGCUUCUGGGCAGGUUACCUACGUGUUACUCACCCGUCCGCCACUCGUUGGCGACCAAAAUCAAUCAGGUGCAAGCACCAUCAAUCAAUUGGGCCAACGCGUUCGACUUGCAUGUAUUAGGCACACCGCCGGCGUUCAUCCUGAGCCAUGAUCAAACUCUGAA